This is a long non-coding RNA of Mauremys mutica (yellowpond turtle), 720 nucleotides long. RefSeq lists it as uncharacterized. The transcript has 2 exons. Lineage: Eukaryota; Metazoa; Chordata; Testudines; Geoemydidae. The record is from RefSeq and is a predicted model, not a curated record.
UUUUGUUAUGUGCACUAAUAUGCAGGUCACACAUCACCUCCAUAUUGAUGCACAUAACAAAAUUCAUUCCGCACAUGUGUGGGAAAAGUUAGAGGGAACACUGCUUAUAUCCAGUUGUUAACCUGAAACUCAGAGUAAAUAGGCCAGUUACAAUUCUGGUUUCAGCAGCAGGAUCUUUUCACCCCUCAGGAUCUAUCACCUGGGGUUAGAUAGAAGUUGGUGGGCCUCCCACCUCCUCUUGUGUGCUGUAGUGGACAAAAGAGAUAGAGGACUUUUCCAAAGCAACAACAGAUUUAUUUAAGGGAAGUAACGGGAACGGGAAAAUCAUGAACUAUAACCAAAUAACAAGUGAGUUGUGGUUUAACGGAGGCGAGUAUAAAACUCAGGCCCCAACUAACUCGAACCUUGGCAACAACUGAACAAAAGAAUACCCCAUGAUACUUUACUGUCCUUAGGUUUUCUUAACCAGCAGGAAUGAGGUUAAGAUGCAUUUGUCUUCACACGUAAUUCAUGGACUCAUGGGAUGUGGAAGCUGAAAUAGUGGGACCCGAAGCUGCUGAUGAUCUUGAUCUGAUUGCCUGGUCUGGUGGGCUUGAUCCAAAGAUCUGACACCGCACAAAAAAGACUGCACCUUGACUGUCUCUAUAAAAGACAUCCCCCGAGCUUCGGUUGCUCAGACUAAUUUAAUCUUUUUAAAGACACACACAAUAAAGUUCUAAG